AUGACGGAAACAAGGCCAGUUCCUCGGAGAGAGAGUCCAUGGGGAAUAACAGGAGAGAAUCAUCCUGAACCUAAAGCUCAUCGAUGCAAUGAUCGCGUUGAAGAUGUUAUCCAGGCUUGCUUUGAGGGAAACCCAUUCAAGACUGUUCCAGGACCUUUCAAGCUCUUCUGGCAGUGCAUGCGAUCUAAACCUGGCGAGGAACCAACUGAGCCAUUUACCUAUUUGGAUUUGGAUCCUCCAAAGAGAGAGCCCGUAAAGCUUGAGUAG
Non-coding RNA from Vicia faba (fava bean), 267 nucleotides. NCBI's taxonomy places the organism in Eukaryota, Viridiplantae, Streptophyta, Magnoliopsida, Fabales, Fabaceae. The record is from the annotation of a GenBank genome assembly.